CCUACGGGAGACAGCAGUGGGGAAUAUUGGGCAAUGGGCGCAAGCCUGACCCAGCAACGCCGCGUGAAGGAAGAAGGCUUUCGGGUUGUAAACUUCUUUUCUCAGGGACGAAGCAAGUGACGGUACCUGAGGAAUAAGCCACGGCUAACUACGUGCCAGCAGCCGCGGUAAUACGUAGGUGGCAAGCUUUAUCCGGAUUUACUGGGUGUAAAGGGCGUGUAGGCGGGAAAGCAAGUCAGAUGUGAAAACCAUGGGCUCAACCUGUGGCCUGCAUUUGAAACGGUUUUUCUUGAGUACUGGAGAGGAAAGUGGAAUUCCUAGUGUAGCGGUGAAAUGCGUAGAUAUUAGGAGGAACACCAGUGGCGAAGGCGACUUUCUGGACAGUAACUGACGUUGAGGCACGAAAGUGUGGGGAGCAAACAGGAUUAGAUAUCCGAGUAGUC
RNAcentral lists this ribosomal RNA (443 nucleotides) under uncultured bacterium. Its description in RNAcentral is "partial 16S ribosomal RNA". It matches the Rfam family "Bacterial small subunit ribosomal RNA", at positions 338 to 795 of the family's 1533-position model. The record is from RNAcentral.